GCUAAAUAUGUGAGUGGAUGGACAGAUGGACAGAUGGAUGGGGGGGUGGAUGAACAAACAGGUAGAUGGGGCUGUAAGGAAACUUGGAACCGGUUCUUGGAACUGACACACUUCUCCGGACUAGAAGUGUGACUCGGGUGAGGUGCCUGGGGCCACAGAGGAGGAGUGGAGACAGGCCUUCUCCUGAGUGUGCUAAAGCGUAGGCGCCUCAUCACAGCCUGUCCACACCUGAUGAGCUACACUGCAUCUGAGGAUGAAUGCCGACAACAGCACCUUUCCCGCCCCCAUGUAUUCAGUCAAGGAGCUCCUAGGAGGCAUCACCGAGGUCCCGGACCACCUAGCACAGAACAGCAGCUGUGUCCCCAAGAUAGAAACUGGGGUAAGGAACAGUCAGCCAACAAGAAAAGGCGGCAUUGGACAUUCCUGUGGCCUGAGUCACUUCCGGAUGAGACAGUUCUGCAGGGGAUGCUGGGGACAGAGGGUGCCCUGUCCUUGCUCUGGGCAGCUGAACCCCCACACCGACUACCUGCCCUCUGGUUUCAGACAGAAAUACAAGAGGAUCUAAGUGGCCCUGCUGGAGAAGCUGCAGAGGAGCCUGUCCACCAGAAGGGGCUGAAGGUCCCCUGCAUCCCAGGCUUAGGCAUGGUCCCAAGAAGAGCCCUGAUCAGGGAUGGCUCAAACACCGGCCUGACCCUCCUCCCACAGGCCUGUGUCGAAGGCAGCCAAGGACUGCGAUCCAGCAGAGAACUGAGUUAUUUUUAUGUGACUUUAAAAUGA
This 777-nucleotide long non-coding RNA is filed under the name Cricetulus griseus (Chinese hamster). RNAcentral's name for it is "lncRNA (ENSCGRG00000026035.1)". The record is from RNAcentral. Lineage: Eukaryota; Metazoa; Chordata; Mammalia; Rodentia; Cricetidae.